This 264-nucleotide unclassified non-coding RNA is filed under the name plant metagenome. RNAcentral describes it as "partial contains small subunit ribosomal RNA, internal transcribed spacer 1, and 5.8S ribosomal RNA". The record is from RNAcentral.
UUUCCGUAGGUGAACCUGCGGAAGGAUCAUUAUUGUAUAACCGAGGUGCGAGGGCUGUCGCUGACCCGAAAGGUCGUGCACGCCCGAGUGCCCUCACACACAUCCAUCUCACCCCUAUGUGCACCACCGCGUGGGGCCCCCUUUGGCUUGUUCGGAGGGGGGCUUACGUUUUCACACAAACUUUGUAUGCAGUGUAGAAUGUAUUUUUUUGUUUUUGCGAUCACGCAAUCAAUACAACUUUCAACAACGGAUCUCUUGGCUCUC